GGAUUAGAUACCCUGGUAGUCCACGCCGUAAACGAUGUCUACUAGUUGUUGGGAGACUUGAUCUCUUAGUAACGAAGCUAACGCGAUAAGUAGACCGCCUGGGGAGUACGGCCGCAAGGUUAAAACUCAAAUGAAUUGACGGGGGCCCGCACAAGCGGUGGAGCAUGUGGUUUAAUUCGAUGCAACGCGAAGAACCUUACCAAGUCUUGACAUCCAGAGAAGUUACCAGAAAUGGUUUCGUGCCUUCGGGAACUCUGAGACAGGUGCUGCAUGGCUGUCGUCAGCUCGUGUCG
This 293-nucleotide ribosomal RNA is filed under the name uncultured bacterium. Its description in RNAcentral is "partial 16S ribosomal RNA". It matches the Rfam family "Bacterial small subunit ribosomal RNA", at positions 775 to 1067 of the family's 1533-position model. The record is from RNAcentral.